CAGUCGCCGCGGUAAUACGUAGGUGGCAAGCGUUGUCCGGAAUUAUUGGGCGUAAAGGGCUCGCAGGCGGUUUCUUAAGUCUGAUGUGAAAGCCCCCGGCUCGACCGGGGAGGGUCAUUGGAAACUGGGAAACUUGAGUGCAGAAGAGGAGAAUGGAAUUCCACGUGUAGCGGUGAAAUGCGUAGAGAUGUGGAGGAACACCAGUGGCGAAGGCGACUCUCUGGUCUGUAACUGACGCUGAGGAGCGAAAGCGUGGGGAGCGAACAGGAUUAGAUACCCCUGUAGUCCCUGUCUCUUAUAA
Molecule: ribosomal RNA, 301 nt
Filed under: uncultured bacterium
Lineage: Bacteria
Description: partial 16S ribosomal RNA
Rfam family: Bacterial small subunit ribosomal RNA
Source: RNAcentral